Molecule: ribosomal RNA, 467 nt
Filed under: uncultured bacterium
Lineage: Bacteria
Description: partial 16S ribosomal RNA
Rfam family: Bacterial small subunit ribosomal RNA
Source: RNAcentral
ACGAACGCUGGCGGCGUGCUUAACACAUGCAAGUCGAACGGAAAGGCCCUGCUUUUGUGGGGUGCUCGAGUGGCGAACGGGUGAGUAACACGUGAGUAACCUGCCCUUGACUUUGGGAUAACUUCAGGAAACUGGGGCUAAUACCGGAUAGGAGCUCCUGCUGCAUGGUGGGGGUUGGAAAGUUUCGGCGGCUGGGGAUGGACUCGCGGCUUAUCAGCUUGUUGGUGGGGUAGUGGCUUACCAAGGCUUUGACGGGUAGCCGGCCUGAGAGGGUGACCGGCCACAUUGGGACUGAGAUACGGCCCAGACUCCUACGGGAGGCAGCAGUGGGGAAUAUUGCACAAUGGGCGGAAGCCUGAUGCAGCAACGCCGCGUGCGGGAUGACGGCCUUCGGGUUGUAAACCGCUUUCGCCUGUGACGAAGCGUGUGUGACGGUAAUGGGUAAAGAAGCACCGGCUAACUACGUG